UAGCCUUGACAUACUACAGAAUUUGACAGAGAUGUUGAAGUGCCUUCGGGAGCUGUAAUACAGGUGCUGCACGGCUGUCGUCAGCUCGUGUCGUGAGAUGUUGGGUUAAGUCCCGCAACGAGCGCAACCCUCGUCCUUAGUUACUAACGGUUUGGCCGAGGACUCUAAGGAGACUGCCUUCGUAAGGAGGAGGAAGGUGAGGACGACGUCAAGUCAUCAUGGCCCUUACGGCUAGGGCAACACACGUGCUACAAUGGUUAGGACAAUGAGAAGCGAUACCGCGAGGUGGAGCAAAUCUAUAAACCUAAUCUCAGUUCGGAUAGCAGUCUGCAACUCGACUGCUUGAAGCUGGAAUCACUAGUAAUCGUAAAUCAGCUAUGUUACGGUGAAUACGUUCCCGGAUCU
RNAcentral lists this ribosomal RNA (405 nucleotides) under uncultured bacterium. Its description in RNAcentral is "bacterial SSU rRNA". It matches the Rfam family "Bacterial small subunit ribosomal RNA", at positions 976 to 1381 of the family's 1533-position model. The record is from RNAcentral.